GCACUCACUCCUUUGAGAGCAUGCUUUCACUGGUGCGACUAGAAAUAGCUGCAUCUAAAAAUGGCUAGAAAAAGCGUUUUAAUGUUUAUUUUUUUGAUUAGUUAUAAUGAUGCAUGACGAAAGUAAUGCAGACAAUGUUCUGUUAAUUUUGCUGAAGCAUUAUGGUGCAUUUUGCAGCGGUGACUAGGCCGCUUCAUCGUGGAAACGAGGGCCGGAGAUGAUCUUGCAUCCAUGCAGGGCUCUUCUGGUGCAUGGACAUCCACACGUGGACGGAGAAAGGGUGGCGUGCUCUCAGGCGGAGGCCCUUCAUGACUUUAUGAUGGGAAAUGGGGUUUGGUGUGGAUGAAUCCCUGCAGUGGAAACAUGGGAAAUGGGGUUUGGUGUGGAUGAAUCCCUGCAGUGGAAACAUGGUUAGUAUCUUGAGUCAGCAGAAGGUGGAUUAUGAAUGAUGGUUGAGAGACUGGUUAGACUUCAGAUCCACAAUGACGGAGAAAUGUAACUGACAUAACACACACACAGUUUCUAAUUGAUGGUGUUUCAAUAACCGAGUCUACUGAAAGUGGUUUUUCUUUUGCAGGUUGAUGUCCUAUUGAAUAAAAAAUUAUCAACAAGCACA
Anoplopoma fimbria (sablefish) is the source of this 616-nucleotide long non-coding RNA. RefSeq lists it as uncharacterized. The transcript has 4 exons. The record is from RefSeq and is a predicted model, not a curated record. Lineage: Eukaryota; Metazoa; Chordata; Actinopteri; Perciformes; Anoplopomatidae.